AGAUACAAACGCAACCGUUUACCUGUCACGCUAGCAUUUUUUAAGAAACAUUUUUGGUAAGCAAUGUGUAAAUGCUCAAAAGGAUAAACAAAAGACAUUUCCAAGGCAAAGAACUGUAUUGACUGCCAUCUCACUUUCCAUCAUUAAGGACUGUAACUACGAAUAUAAAUUUCUGGAAGUCAAUUAGCGAGCAGUGGCAAGACCUAACGAGAAAAACUAUACUGAAAGUCAAAGAUGAAGAAUAUCGUUGCCUCGUUGGUCAUCAUCCUGUGUUUAACUGUUGACAAAUCAAUUCAGGUGUGUAAGCCAACAGAUGUAAUAAUAAAGUUUCCGACAAAAGGAUGUGGACUACAGUCAGUCACCACGAAGGGAUGCAAAGGGCGCUGUCCAUCCGAAACAUUGCCGCGCAUAAGAGGAACUAACUUGAAGAAAACAUGCACCUGUUGCACACCAACCAAAUAUAAGCUAAAAUUAAACACAGUGGUCCUGUGCAACUCACCCAGGCAUGAAGUUACACUGCAGGCUGUGAAAAAGUGUGCUUGUCGUCCUUGCUCGUCGACCUGAGGAUUGGCACAACUACAUGAAGAUUGUUUAAUCUAAAAACAAUCACAAUUAAAAAACUAUUUGAAUGUAACCCAAAGGAGUCACGCAAAACGAGCGAACAAUGUGAUUUGAAUAGGACGGAUUUUAGUGCGUAUGGCGCCAGUAAAAUGCCAGGCAAAUUUGACAGGAUUCCAUUCCAAUUGACAUUUGCAAUAACCACAGUGUCCAGAACAUAUAUAAUUGUAAAUAAUUCCAGGCAUCCAUAUCGAACGUAGAUUAGAAUACGUUGUGUACGAAUUCCCUGUCUACUGUAUAAUUCAUGUAUAAAAUGAGAGAAUUUAGAACACGGAGAGAUACUUAACUAUGUAUUAACUUGUUUGGCUAUAUAGAAAUAUAUUUCUAUUGAAUAU
Dendronephthya gigantea is the source of this 953-nucleotide long non-coding RNA. RefSeq lists it as uncharacterized. Lineage: Eukaryota; Metazoa; Cnidaria; Anthozoa; Malacalcyonacea; Nephtheidae. The transcript is spliced from 4 exons. The record is from RefSeq and is a predicted model, not a curated record.